This 74-nucleotide transfer RNA is filed under the name Pueribacillus theae. It matches the Rfam family "tRNA". Rfam says of the family: Transfer RNA (tRNA) molecules are approximately 80 nucleotides in length. Their secondary structure includes four short double-helical elements and three loops (D, anti-codon, and T loops). Lineage: Bacteria; Bacillati; Bacillota; Bacilli; Caryophanales; Bacillaceae. The record is from Rfam by way of RNAcentral.
AGGAAUGUGGCUCAUCUUGGUAGAGCGCUUGGUUCGGGACCAAGAGUCCACAGGUUCAAAUCCUGUCAUUCCGA